This 69-nucleotide small nucleolar RNA is filed under the name Falco tinnunculus (common kestrel). RNAcentral's name for it is "Small nucleolar RNA SNORD42 (ENSFTIG00000004738.1)". It matches the Rfam family "Small nucleolar RNA SNORD42". From Rfam's summary of the family: snoRNA U42 is found in intron 3 of the ribosomal protein L23a (RPL23a) gene in humans and is also present in mice. The record is from Rfam by way of RNAcentral. Lineage: Eukaryota; Metazoa; Chordata; Aves; Falconiformes; Falconidae.
GUGCAAAUGAUGUGAACAUUUUUUUUACCACUGAAUAAUGUGAUGUUUCCAAAGGAACCACUGAUGCAC